AGAAUCAACGCUGGCGGCGUGCCUAACACAUGCAAGUCGAACGUAGAAAGGGGUAGCAAUACCAUGAGUAAAGUGGCGCACGGGUGAGUAACACGUGACUAACCUACCCUGGAGUGGGGGAUAACUGAGGGAAACCUUAGCUAAUACCGCAUAAUACCUACGGGUCAAAGGAGCAAUUCGCUUCAGGAGGGGUCGCGGCCGAUUAGUUAGUUGGCGGGGUAAUGGCCCACCAAGACAGUGAUCGGUA
Molecule: ribosomal RNA, 247 nt
Filed under: uncultured bacterium
Lineage: Bacteria
Description: partial small subunit ribosomal RNA
Rfam family: Bacterial small subunit ribosomal RNA
Source: RNAcentral